This 261-nucleotide ribosomal RNA is filed under the name uncultured prokaryote. Its description in RNAcentral is "partial 16S ribosomal RNA". It matches the Rfam family "Bacterial small subunit ribosomal RNA", at positions 524 to 784 of the family's 1533-position model. The record is from RNAcentral.
UACGGAGGAUCCGAGCGUUAUCCGGAUUUAUUGGGUUUAAAGGGUGCGCAGGCGGGGGAUUAAGUCGGCGGUGAAAUUUUGCAGCUCAACUGUAAAAGUGCCUUCGAUACUGGCUUUCUUGAGUGUGGAUGAAGUAGGCGGAAUUUGUGGUGUAGCGGUGAAAUGCAUAGAUAUCACGAGGAACUCCGAUUGCGCAGGCAGCUUACUAAACUACUACUGACGCUGAGGCGCGAAAGCGUGGGGAGCGAACAGGAUUAGAUA